AUGUUGCGGCUGUCAGAGGAGGAUGAUAGGGUGGUGGCGGAGUUCCAGGCGCUGUACGCCGCCGCGAGGGAGGCGGGGUUCGGCCGCAUCUUCCGCUCCCCCACGCUGUUCGAGGACAUGGUCAAGUGCAUCCUCCUCUGCAAUUGCGAUGUAGCUCUAUUGAUGAUGAAGAUUGACAGAUCUUUUAUGCUUGUGUUUGAUUUGAUGCCAUGUCAACUUGGUUGCAUAAUCAUGAAGUAA
This 240-nucleotide ribosomal RNA is filed under the name Triticum aestivum (bread wheat). Its description in RNAcentral is "partial small subunit ribosomal RNA". The record is from RNAcentral. Lineage: Eukaryota; Viridiplantae; Streptophyta; Magnoliopsida; Poales; Poaceae.